CUCUGUAACAGAAUUCCAGAGCUUCGUUAUGGACCUUGCUCAUGAACUGAUUGCCACAAAAGAAGACAAGCGGUUCUCCAGCUCAGAACUGAAAACUCUUAUGUAUCAUCUCACCCACGAAUCAGCUUCAUCACACAUGGGCGGGCCAUGCCUGCUACGGGUAGAAACGAUGCUAGAUAUCCCACACCACUGCUGUCUGUAGACACAAGCAUUCUGAAAACAGCUCAGGGAGGCGGGCGUGUAUAGCCCACACCAUCACCAUCGCUACCGCAGGAACCCCCAGAAGCGUACAGCCCACACCGUCACCAUCGCCACCGGAACCCCCAGAAGCGUACAGCCCACACCAUCGCCACCGGAACCCCCAGAAGCGUACAGCCCACACCAUCGCCACCGGAAACCCCAGAAGCGUACAGCCCACACCGUCACCAUCACUACCGCGGGAACCCCCCUUUCACUGCUGAUAGUGUCAGCGGCUCCACCACACCCAUCACCAGUUCCACUAAUGACAUCAUCAGGACACCCCCCACUCCAGACUGACACCUCAUCUCCUUCUCUCAUGCCACCGGCACCUCUCACGCCACCGAGCAUCAACCGAGACCUAAGAUUGAAAAAGAAUGACUAACUGUAACUCCACCAGGCAUAAAGACUUAGAAGGUUUCAUUUACAAACCUCUAAGUCAAUUGCACAGAAUGUGACACCAUCUCAGUGUGGCCUCAAACACCGUGACAGUUAUUACAAACGUCAGUGGAUAAAAGUGUCCUCCCUUACUGUGGUGACCAGGAGAACAGACAAAAGCAAGGUCUGGUAGAAGGCUCCUUGGUGCCCAUAGGCAUCUCCGCUAUAGCUCUGAGCCUGGGCUAUUUAUUCCCAAUGUCCGGAUAUGUGGAAUCAGAGAUUAUGGCCAUGUGGGACAGGAAGCAGCCAUGCAUGAUCUCAUUACCAGAAUGGCUGGAUCUCCAUAUGACAAUGAACUUGAAGCUCACUGGCAGACUCCUAGCAGUCCAAUGGGAAGCUCUUUAAAAAUAGAUUUCAUAGACAUUUUGCUGUAUUUUCCUUUGAAGAUGUGAAAAAAAAUAACUUUAUCCAUAUUUUUAAAGGUCACAAUUUUUUGUCUUAAAAAUCAAGUGCUUUUAUUUUCUUGUAUCCUGAAACUUAACAAGUCACAAAUAGUUAAACUUAAAUUGCUAACUGCUCUAUUUUAAGAGACUUAAAAAAGUAAAAGUCAUUACCAAGCUGAUACUGUGAGUAACCAGCUCUGCAGCUAGAGGCAGACUUUACAGCUAGUUGUAAAUCCUUAACCCGUGAGCCUUUUACUCUGGCCAAUUGCAGCCCUCCAACACAAGCAGCAGUGUCUCUAUGGCAUCACAAAAGGCCUAUUAACUUCCCAAUGACUAGAGGAGGAAACAGUCUUUAGCAGAGUAUACAAGGGAGCCAAAGACAAAAAGACACUGGGAACCACAACUCCAAACCCUGAGGGUCACAGAGACCUUCCUCUGAACCAGAGUGUUUACUUCACUGAUUUAAAAUACACCGGUGUCUUGGCCAAGUCUCACUGGAGAGUAUUUGUUUAACAAAUAAAGAUGUGUGUUUCCUAAAGUGUCUCUGACUGAGGCUUGAGAUCCCACCCCUUCGGAAACUCAGGGCUUGGCUAGCUCCCGCACAGGCCUUUGACUGUGAGGAUCUCUCUUCUAAGGGAAGGAAAGGGCUGGUGUUCCUGAGGGAAGACAUGCUUCCACCAAGCUGUCAACAGGAACGACAAAUGGGGAAGGCAAAAACCAGGGUCCGGCAGGAUUUGUACGUCGAGCAAUUCAAUAGGAGGACCAAGUUUAAAACCGGAUUGGCAGUUGGUCUUUUCCUGAGGAUGUGAGUACCUGCUUGCCUGCUUACCCUUGAGAAUGGAAGUCAGCCUGAGGGUACCCCAGCUGGUUCUAUUCACUUAACACCAGAGUACCCCUUAAAUAAAUAAAACCACAAGGCUAAUCAUACAAAUAGCACCUACUUCUCUUAAACAGAAAAAUAAAGAACAUUUCUUAAU
Molecule: long non-coding RNA, 2035 nt
Organism: Mesocricetus auratus (golden hamster)
Lineage: Eukaryota; Metazoa; Chordata; Mammalia; Rodentia; Cricetidae
Exons: 2
Source: RefSeq, a predicted model, not a curated record